Long non-coding RNA from Apodemus sylvaticus (European woodmouse), 1120 nucleotides. RefSeq lists it as uncharacterized. Lineage: Eukaryota; Metazoa; Chordata; Mammalia; Rodentia; Muridae. The transcript is spliced from 3 exons. The record is from RefSeq and is a predicted model, not a curated record.
UGGCGCUGUCUGGAGAGGCUCGGGUGGCACAGCCUUGCUGGAGGAAUGACGUCACUGGGGAUGAGCACCGAAAUUAAAAGCCAGUCUUCUCUGUUUCUUGCUUGCCCUUUGGAGAUGCGCCCUCUAUGCCUGCUCACCCUGCCACGUGCCUCCAUGCCCCCUGCCGUGAUGGACGCUCACCCCUCCCGGGACCACAAGCUGAAAUAAAACCUUCCUAUUGAAAGUUGUCUUGGUCACGGUGGUUUGUCAGAGCCACAGAAAAACUCCCGAGACAGUUAUCAUCCUGGCAGGAGGCAUGGAGACAAGCAGGCAGGCCCGAGGCUGGAGCAGGAGCUGAGAGUCUACAUCUGGAUCCGCGGGCAGCAGGAGACUGCACUUCAUAAAAGACUCUGGGACCGUGAAGCUGAUGGGUGUGUGGAGUCUCCAGGGUCCAGGGGAAGCUUGGGCUAAAGCAAAGCUCAAUACGGUGGCUUCAGGUCAGCAAGAAUGGCCAGAGGCAGGACCGACCAGUGAGAAUGAGACUGUCAUGAUGUCACAGCUCCAGGGGACAGCACUUGCCCAGAGCGCAGUCAUCAGGUCUCCCUGUGUUUGUUUAUACCCUCCACACGCAUCCUGGUUGCCAAGUCCGUGAACAGACCUGAGGCACAGGAGUACUUUCUCAAGGUCUGGGUCUUCCCGUGCUAGAGGCAAAUGGGAAAUGUUUCACAGUGGGUUGGCCACCACCCUGCAGGGCUACUGGGAAUGGAGGAACUUUUAGGAGGCCGGUGGGCUAUCAGCAGAAGGAAGUUAGGUGACCAGGAACUCUGAUCUCUGUAUUUGCCUCCCUCCCUCCCUGUCCCCUCCCUGUCUAGGGCAGCUCCCUUCAUUGCAGUUUCCUCCCUCAAUGCACAGGGCUACCAACCCUCACCCUAAGUGUGCAGAUCUUCUUCUGUGUGGCCGGCAGAAGGCAGGAAGGGUCAAACCGCACACAGCUGUAACACCGCCUGCCCUCAGGAAGGGGGUCUUUGCUGCUACUUGAUAUUAACUCGCCUUCAUCUUUGCCAGUUUGGUGGGCAAGUUAGCAUUUCAUUGUUUGUGAAACUGAUAAAUGAGGAUAGGAAUUGGUAGAAAGGGCUCAGAC